Molecule: long non-coding RNA, 3184 nt
Organism: Cygnus olor (mute swan)
Lineage: Eukaryota; Metazoa; Chordata; Aves; Anseriformes; Anatidae
Exons: 5
Source: RefSeq, a predicted model, not a curated record
UUCUGAGUCUAUCAGAAAGACUUCUUCUUUGUUCCUUUGAGCAGCUUCAAUCUGAAGCAUGUGAAGUGUUCUCAUAUUUUAUGCAAAAUUUUUAAGAUGCAUGUGUAUUUACAUGCUACAUCUGGAAGAGUGGAAAGCGAAGCAUCUCUUUACUAGUUCCUGUUGAAUGUUAGCACAGUGCGUUGACACUGGCAAAAGUAAUUUGACCUACAAUGAGCGUGUAUGUGGGGGAUGGCCAGAAGUUUUCAAUGGUACGUGAUGUGUGCCAUUAAUAUAUUGCUCCUCUUAUGCCAGGGAACAUGCCUUGUGAGGCAGUGCAGCGCCAGCGAGAGCUUCACUUCAGGCAUCCUGAUAGUGUGGCAUGUGUCUUGUGGCGAUGCUGACUGCGCAGGCUGACACCAUUUGUUCUUCUGAGGGUUACAAGCUCAGGCAUGCUGUCCAGUUCCAGCAACGAGUUACCACACCUCAGCUGGGGCACAGGAACUGCAGCGUGCCUUUCUUUAGCCUGCAGCAAAUGUGAGGUUCAAUGUGUCAGCUUAACCUCAGGGGCAAGGAAAAGAAAAGUCGAAACUGGUUGCUUCCAUCUGAGAUCGCCACAGGCAAAGAGCAAACACACAUGGUCAAUUACCACGGCUCAGUUGAUGCAUGAUGGUGCCAUUUUCAGGUCAAAUCUUUGUAUUAGUAAGAACUUGUCCAUUGACUUCAUAGAGCAGUAUUAUAUUGUGAGCAAUGAGUUGUUACAUUGCAAACACAAUUGAAGAAGCUAUGUUUUAGAGUCUAAUUUAAAGAUGAACUUACAUCUUUCUUAAAAAACAUUGGAAAAAAAAAAGGAACAAUAAAAGGCAAAUCAACAAGACCAACAAUGGAAGAAAACCAACAAUCCCAAACUUUCAUCCUUCCUCCCAAAUCACACUAGUUUUCUUACUCUACCCUCUGGGAGAGCUAAGAAGAUGUUUGCUCAUUUCUGGCUGGGAACACAACAGGAUUUGCUAAACUGAUCCUAAAGACAGAAGAGUUCCAAACCCAGGAGCAGUCUAGGCCCUAUGAAAUUAUGACUGUGGCCAAGGAAGCACAGGACCAGACACCAAGACUUUGGAUCCUUUUCCAUUUUUAUUCAGUACCGUCAUAUUAAUCUCAGUUAAUCUUUCUCUGCUUCCAUAUAAUAAAAGGAAAGACAUUUGAUUAGGUUAUAUGAGAUGCUUUUUCAGGCAGACUGAUUCAACACAUGGCUGCAAGACCAGGCAUUAUUAUCUCGACUAACAUGGACACAUUUUGAACACUGCUUCUCACUCUAUCAGCCGCUACCACCUCUGCAGUAAUGUGACAGCAAGGGAAAAAGGACGAGAAGGUGAUAAAGUUUGCCCACGCAAGCAGAAAAGAACUUUCUGUCCAAAGCCAGCUGGCUUGGCUUGGGAAUGAAAUGGCAUUUUAGCAUGGGAUGACACGUUUACGCGUGUACUGGAGCUGUGUUUCAAAACACUUGUCCUAGAUGCAACAGCAGGGGCUGUGAAGUAGUUUAUCAUCAAGCAGCUACAGAAAACAGGAGCUGCACUAGCCGAUUGCAGUGGGAGCCGAGGAUGCUCUGCACAAGUCAGGAGCAACUUACUUGACUUUAAGAGUUCCACAAGCGAUUUGUCACUUGAAGAGGCCCCACCAACUUCACAUCUACUUUAAAAAGUAGCUCAAAAACUUUUCAGUUAUUAAAAGAAGGUGGCAAGCAUUCAUGAGGAUAUGAAAAUUUAAAGCCGUCUGCAGGAAACUCUGAAAACCUCUGGUUAAGGCUGCUGCCAAAAAAUCUCAGCUAUGUUAUGUCAGAAUGUUUAAUUGCAAGCUGCAAUUUUAAUGAAUGGAAAGAUAUGGCAAAAGCAGGAAGUUUCUGAAGCAACAUAGAGCAACCAUGAAAAUAAAAUACCGAAGGUUGUAAUCUUGAAUGCUGCUGGAAGCAGGAAUUUCCAUCCACACUCCCGACUCCUUUUCCUACUGUGCAGAAUUUGCCAGCUGUCUGGCUGGAGAGAGGUAAGCUGUUCUGGAUAUCAUCUCCUGGGCUCAAGGCAGCACUUCUUAUGUCUAUGCGAAGAAGUCAACUUCUUUGCAUUUGUCGUUGUGGGUGUUUACAGAAAUGCAGCUUAGGAAUAGGGGAGGGAAAGCAAAUGUCAGAGUGCAUUAAAUAACAUAUUUUCUUAACUUUCCAAGAAGCUUGCUUGCAGCAUGAUGUUGCUAUUUAUAUCAGGUCUCUUAAACCCAGCUGUUGGUUCAUGUUCACAUGCAGAAUGGUGAGAAAAACCCAGCAGAAGAGUGUGAAUCCCAGGGAGACUUGUAUUCUGUCAUUGUGAAGACCUAGAAAAUAUCACAAGUUUUGCUGAGAUACGGAUCACCCAUGCUGUAAGUGAGGCAUGCAAUACAAAUAUUUUCCAUGUUCGUCUGUGGUAUUAGAAGGCCAGCAGCAAAGCAAAAGGAGAAGUACCAAAUGCUGCAACAGGCGCCUUCAGAUAGCGUAGUCUGAACCCGAGGCUGGAAAAGUUUGAAAGAGAACUUUUACCUGUAACUCAAAACUAGCAAAUAUACUGUACACCCACAUUACAGCAUUCUUAGACAAGCUGUGUCUGAUCUAAUCUUAUGUACCUUGGCCACAAGCUCUGGAAAAACAAAUAUUCCCAAGGCAAUCAGAUUACUGAAUGCACCAUAUAACGAUGUGGAAAUAUUAGCGGUUUACAGAGGGCAGUUUAUGACAUGGAUUGAGUGAAUUUAAUUCAUGCAUUGUCAGGCGGCUUGGACUUAACUAAACUAAGGAAAUCUUUACUUGAUUAUAUCUGUCUUUGGUGGAGCACCAGCGCCAAAUAAUAGUGUAAGAGCAAUACUCCCAACCACAGAGAGAGGUCAUAGGAGUUUGAUCCAAGCCAGCAUUCGGAGAGGGAAAGUCUGUGUCUGCACUGAAGUGGUUGUUAUGGGGUUAACAGGGUUACCCGAAGUGUUCAUGGAAAGGAACCAUUAUCUGCUCCUCUCUGGCUUCCUGUCCUGUAGGUGGGAGUCCCCCCUUCUCAUAUCCUUUGUUUCAAAUGCAAGUUCCCAUCCUGAAAUGCUGCGAGUACAAUUUGGUUUUGUUGCAAUAAGUAGUCCUUUACAACAUCUUCAUUCAUAGAGCACUUCCACCAUUGUAAGUGAAACAAUGUUAGGAAUUAAUCUA